This 112-nucleotide ribosomal RNA is filed under the name Prolemur simus (greater bamboo lemur). Lineage: Eukaryota; Metazoa; Chordata; Mammalia; Primates; Lemuridae. The record is from RNAcentral.
UAUGGCCAGACCACCCUGAACGUGCCCAGUCUCGUCUGAUCUCGGAAGCUAAGCAGGGUCUGGCCUGGUUCGUACUUGGAUGGGAAACCAGAGAAGUAGGGGAAAGCCACCU